GGACUACUGGGGUAUCUAAUCCCGUUCGCUCCCCUAGCUUUCGCCCCUGAGCGUCAGGUGCCAGCCAGGACACUGCCUGCGCCUUCGGUGUUCCUCCGGAUAUCUACGCAUUUCACCACUACACCCGGAAUUCCGUGUCCCUCUCUGGUCCUCAAGUCGACCCGUUUUUGAGACGCUCUCCCAGUUAAGCCGGGAGCUGUCACCUCAAACGCGACCGACCGCCUGCGGGCGCUUUACGCCCAGUAACUCCGGACAACGCUCGCCCCCUACGUAUUACCGCGGCUGCUGGCAC
Molecule: ribosomal RNA, 292 nt
Filed under: uncultured bacterium
Lineage: Bacteria
Description: partial 16S ribosomal RNA
Source: RNAcentral